ACCCACAGUCUUUGCAAAAUCCUAAUCUGAGACUGGCCUAGUCUUUCAAAAAUCUUUUCCAAAUCUUUGCUAAGUCUGUCAAUGUAAGGUAGGCUUAAGUUGACACUUGUCAGUGUCCAUUCUUUUGUUGGUCCAGAGUUUAUUUUUACUGCAUGAACGGUGUUUAUAAUCUCGUUCAGAGAGGGUGAAACCGAAGCCAGUCAGGCUCUUGGUUCAGUCCUUCGGGUACCCAUCUGACGUCAUUACGUCGGCAGACGUCUCUCCCUGGAAGUCCGAAGUUGCCCGAGAACAAUGGCUGCCUGACGACGGCUGUUUGACUGUUUGAAAGCCAAGGUUAUCAAGGAAACAAGUGGUGUACUGGAUGAAGUUUGAUGGACUCUUCUGAUCAGGUGCUGCAGGUCUUCCAGCUACUGUUUGGAGAAGAUAUUUCCUCUCAAUUUAUGGAAGUAGGGAAUUUUUCUGAAGGCAGAAAUCAAGGAUUCAAGAACCCAAGUUGGACUGUUGAUUCCACUGAGACCACUGUGUGCAUUUUGAAAUGUUCCAAAUGUGUGUCACGUCCAUACGGAAGAAGUUCCAAGCCCACAAUGGGCUCUAUGAACUGUCCAGGGCAAAGUCGGUCUACCCUGAUGACACUCCCUGUUCCUUGAUGGUAACCAUGGCUGCUGCCCUGAACGUGGUGGGUGUGGACUAUAGGAGCCCUCAGAAAUAAACUGAUAUCAAUAAUUAAUAUGGAUGGUGAUUGUGGCAAGGGUGCCUCCAUAAGGUGCCAUCCAGAAGCCCCAGCCUGGAGCCAGUGGCUGCUAUUGCAAGACUCAUGGGGGAUGAUCUGCAGGCAAAGCUACGAUUAGACACUUGACAUUUACUGCGAAAGGUACCAUCAGAGCACCUCUCCCUACCCUGCAGGAUAUCUAUACCAGAAAAGUACAACAACGGCCCAAAACUAUUUCCAAAAGACAUUUCACACCCUGACCAUGGACUGUUUAAACCACUGAGGUCAAGCAGACGUCUCUGUUCCCACAUGGCUAAAACAGAAAGGAAACAAGGAGUCUUUUCUCAAUAUGCUGCUCCAUCGCUCCACCCCUGAAACAUCAGUUUCGAUCUUGAACACAUGAGGAUGUUGCCUCAAGUUUGCCUGCAGACAGUCAAUAUAGACAGGUGUGUUGUUUUGAUUUGAUGUUUAGAUUGCCAUGCAUACAGUAUCUUUACAAUAAUGAUGGAACAAAUUCUCAUUUGGUUUUACCUACAUUGGGAUUAAAGGAAAACUUAACCGUUU
Molecule: long non-coding RNA, 1273 nt
Organism: Sardina pilchardus (European sardine)
Lineage: Eukaryota; Metazoa; Chordata; Actinopteri; Clupeiformes; Clupeidae
Exons: 7
Source: RefSeq, a predicted model, not a curated record